RNAcentral lists this non-coding RNA (437 nucleotides) under Hespellia stercorisuis DSM 15480. RNAcentral's name for it is "Bacterial small subunit ribosomal RNA". It matches the Rfam family "Bacterial small subunit ribosomal RNA", at positions 1 to 418 of the family's 1533-position model. Lineage: Bacteria; Bacillati; Bacillota; Clostridia; Lachnospirales; Lachnospiraceae. The record is from Rfam by way of RNAcentral.
UUUAACGAGAGUUUGAUCCUGGCUCAGGAUGAACGCUGGCGGCGUGCUUAACACAUGCAAGUCGAGCGAAACACUUAAAUCAGAUUUCUUCGGAAUGAAGAACUUUGUGAUUGAGCGGCGGACGGGUGAGUAACGCGUGGAUAACCUACCUCAUACAGGGGGAUAACAGUUAGAAAUGACUGCUAAUACCGCAUAAGACCGCGGCACCGCAUGGUGCAGUGGUAAAAACUCCGGUGGUAUGAGAUGGAUCCGCGUCUGAUUAGCUAGUUGGUGAGGUAAUGGCCCACCAAGGCGACGAUCAGUAGCCGACCUGAGAGGGUGAUCGGCCACAUUGGGACUGAGACACGGCCCAAACUCCUACGGGAGGCAGCAGUGGGGAAUAUUGCACAAUGGGGGAAACCCUGAUGCAGCGACGCCGCGUGAAGGAUGAAGUAUUU